UAAACACAAAGAUGGAAGGGUCUCUUUAUAAACAAGAACUUACGAAAUGUAGAAAAAGACUGGUCUUUGGUCGUCUUGGGUAACUGAUCACGUCUGAUGCACAACAAAGCAGAUUCAAGUUCGAUUAUUUAACUCCUGAAAGGUUAUAGCCACAGAAAGAAAGCAGUCCAAAUUACUGUUGCUAAAAAGGAAAAAAAAUCAUAGAUUAUGGCCUCAAAUGACAUCGAAUAAUUCUGUUAUGAAGAAUGUAGAGGUAAGAUGCAAGUUAAAUAUUUCUCUGAAAUCCGGAACAAAUGAGGAACACAGAAAUCAUGUGUGCUGAGUGCAAACUCCGCCCCUGAUACCGUUCAGCUUCUGCCAAGGCUUGGCUGGUCCUCUUUGGGAAUAAAGUUCCAGUCCUGCUUCACUGAUUAAGUAAAGGAACGAUCAGGUCUACACACGGGAUCACGAAGGUGAGAAUUUUUGGAGUCAGAAUAUUAAGUAAGCUACCGCAGAAACACUAAGCAGCUUUGUUAUACACGAAAAAUAUUAGUUUUUUCAAGAAGAAAAUACACGAUAGCUGGUGAGAGGACCUGCCCGAUUAACCAAACGAAGGCUAUUAGGAAGGACUGCCUUAACCAAACAGGAAGGGAGGAACGUAUGAACUGGGUAAUGCCAUCAAAUCCUGGAUUAUCACAGGCUGACAACUUAAGUGAGUGGGUCACAAUGCGGAAAUGAAGGAAGAGGAGGCUUUACACACUGUGCUAGAGUGGAUUAGGCCCAGUUUGUCACCUGGAUAUAUGAACUGUAAAGGAAAGUAUCUGCAGUGUGCUGGCACAUGAAUGAAACAAGUUGAAUGGAUGUCAGUCCCACAAUUCCACAAGAAUUGUAAAGGGCCCGAAUGAAGUAUGGAAAUGACCUCAUUGAGAAAAAAUGUUGGAAAGUCAUACUUUCACAUGGAGCGAUCUUAAUCUUACUGAUGCUGUUUAUCAAGUCGUAGCAGUGCCUUUUCACCCAAAGUCGAGUUGAGUUCAGCUUUACGAAUGUUUAUCAUUAUGAGGUAGUUCACUUUGAUUAAAGAAAUAUAAUCUGUUACUUCAACUUAUCACAUGUUUAAUAUUUAAGGAUAUAUAUUUUUCACGCUCUGUACUUCCCGGUUUAAUGCUUCCCAUUAGGUAGCUCUGUCUUAUUCAGGAUGUAUAUUCUUUUUCAUACCUAUAGCUCCUUUCAGUUUAAUCUUACUAAUGAGCAUUUACCUAGAGUUUUUAUAAGUUUAAUAUCGGGUAACUAUAGCCCGUAUGCUUCAGAUUACGUAGUUUUUGCUUGGACUUCUCAUCACAUUAUAUCGCCUGUCGGUUAUUUCAGUAUAUGUCAGGAUACACAGUUAAUCUCAAAAAGCUGCAAGGCAGCACCGUCUUUUGGGAUAUGUAUUGUUAACUUUCUUGUCGGUUCAACAAGCGCAAUGUGGUACCUCAGGAUACAUAGUUUUUCCUGCGUAAGAUUCAUAAAUUUAUCACCUUAAAUACUUCAGUACACUUCACGAUAGUUUUGAUUUCUUACCAGUGUAAAGUGGCUAACACCUCAAUCAUGUUUAGGAUAGUUUUUUUCAAAUAAAUUCCUUAUGUUUAAUAUCAACUACCAGGAUACACAGUUUUGCUUUAACUUGGAUCGAGUGCCAGCCUGAUAUCAAUCAAAGGUAGCCCGGUGUAUCUGAAUAUGUAGGUAAUUAAAUUUUCUUGUCAAGUACUAGCUAUCUAGCAAAUUUCAGGAUACGUGCUUUCGUUUUUACGCAAGAUUCAUAGCUUACUAAAAUUAGCCAUCAAAAAUAUCGGUUUGUUUAAGAUUACAUAGCCUUUGUUUUGUUUAUUUAAAUAUCUUAUUUAAAUAUUUCAUUAGUUUAAUAGUUGUGUUUUAAGAUACAACGUUUUCACUUAAAUUUUUAAGCAGUU
This is a long non-coding RNA of Macrobrachium nipponense, 1928 nucleotides long. RefSeq lists it as uncharacterized. NCBI's taxonomy places the organism in Eukaryota, Metazoa, Arthropoda, Malacostraca, Decapoda, Palaemonidae. The record is from RefSeq and is a predicted model, not a curated record. The transcript is spliced from 6 exons.